AGCUCCAAUAGCGUAUAUUAAUGUUGUUGCAGUUAAAAAGCUCGUAGUUGGAUUUCUGAUUGAGAACGACCGGUUUUUAUUUAUUUAAUUACUGUGUGUUGUUUUUGAUCAUCCUUAGAGGGAAAAUAGUUGGCAUUGAUUUGUCGAUUAUGGGAUCUCUAUCGUUUACUGUGAAAAAAUUAGAGUGUUUAAAGCAGGCAUUUGCCUUGAAUACAUUAGCAUGGAAUAAUAAGAUAGGACUUUGGUACUAUUUUGUUGGUUUGCAUACCAAAGUAAUGAUUAAUAGGGACAGUUUUGGGGGUAUUCGUAUUUAAUUGUCAGAGGUGAAAUUCUUGGAUUUAUGAAAGACGAACUACUGCGAAAGCAUUUACCAAGGAUGUUUUCAUUAAUCAAGAACGAA
This 400-nucleotide ribosomal RNA is filed under the name phytoplankton environmental sample. RNAcentral describes it as "partial small subunit ribosomal RNA". It matches the Rfam family "Eukaryotic small subunit ribosomal RNA", at positions 587 to 987 of the family's 1831-position model. The record is from RNAcentral.